This 259-nucleotide unclassified non-coding RNA is filed under the name Ascomycota sp. RNAcentral describes it as "partial contains small subunit ribosomal RNA, internal transcribed spacer 1, and 5.8S ribosomal RNA". The stretch from base 1 to 46 matches the Rfam family "Eukaryotic small subunit ribosomal RNA", at positions 1786 to 1831 of the family's 1831-position model. Lineage: Eukaryota; Fungi; Ascomycota. The record is from RNAcentral.
AAGUCGUAACAAGGUUUCCGUAGGUGAACCUGCGGAAGGAUCAUUACCGAGAUAGGGUUCCCUUGGGAGCCCGACCUCCAACCCUUUGUCUACCAAACCACUGUUGCCUCGGCGGGCCGCCGGUUUUCCCCUGGGAAGCCGCCGUCGGCCUCGGCUUUCGAGUGCCCGCCGCGGGACCUUUGAAACUCUUAAAAACGUCUUCUGAGUGGACAUCAAUGCUUCAAAAAAAAAACUUUCAACAACGGAUCUCUUGGUUCUG